CAAUGACAUUGAAUCAGUCAAUAGGGAAGCCAUAUGGCAAGAAAUGGAAGUCUCUGGCCAACAGACAAUGAAGUGAAGUCUGUCAGUAACGCUAGUGAACUUGGAAGCAGAUCCUUCUGCCCAGUCAAGUCUUGAGAUGACUGCAACCCUAGCUGAUAUUUUGACUGCUACCCCGACCCUAACUCAGAACCAACUGGAACAUAUACAUUUCGGUUUCAACAUAGCGGCAGCCAGAGCGGUCCUCUUAAAGUGGAAGUGAUAUUCUGCUUCUCUCCUGCUUAAAACCUUCAGAUCUCCCUAUCUCCCUAAAAGCAACAACCAAAGUCCUUCCAGGGGCUACAUGAACACCUGCAUCGUCUGGAGUCUGCUAUGACUCAGCCCUCAAUGCCUACAAUACUCAUGCAUUAAGAACAUAUUGAGUGGGUAUGGAAAGUCUCUAAAUCUUCUGGUCCACGCUUUAGCAAACACGUCUCAAUAUAUUCUACUUCUACAGAUGAGUAACUUCAUUCUUGAUGUUUUGUUUGUACUGAUUUCGGUUUUUCACUGAGAAAUUGAACUCUACUUUUUCUUGUCUUUAAUUUCUGGAAAGCACCUACAAAAUUUCCCAAACACUGACUACAUUCCCCUAAAUGCUUUAAAAUCGGUAAUUUUUUUAGAGACCUUAACUUUUACAGAGUUAAUACUAGAAUACUUACAAAUGUCACUAUAUUAUGGCCAGGAUUUGUAUCAAAAUAAUGGAGGUAGAGGUUCAGGAGUAGACAUGAGAAAAGAUGAAACAAGAUUGGCCAUAGGGAAGCUGGUUGUUAAGUACAGG
This 814-nucleotide long non-coding RNA is filed under the name Homo sapiens (human). RNAcentral's name for it is "HSALNT0204317". The record is from RNAcentral. Lineage: Eukaryota; Metazoa; Chordata; Mammalia; Primates; Hominidae.